UUCCCUCUAUUCCAAUUUUUUUAAAGUAUUUGACAGUUAUAUCAGCGUCCAAAUGAAAGUACUCCCUCCGUCCCAUAAUAUAAUAUCUUAUUACAUUCAUUUUGCUCACAAAUUGGGUGUAAUAAGAUCUUAUAUUAUGGGAUGGAGGGAGUACAAUCGAUUCAUAUUCUGUGCAUCUUUGUACUUACCGUUGCUGGAUGAAAAUUUGGACAUACAUAGAUAGCUCCAGAUGUAGCCUAAAUGUUUUUUUACUCGCAGCUGCUACGCUACUGCUCGCCUACCCCCGCAGCUAGCCUACCCGCCGCUGCUCGCCUACGCGAGGUGUUCGACGGAAAAUUCCCUUCAAGGACGGCAUCACGUGGGCGACCAUGGUGUCUGCAUCCCGCCAGUUCGCGCCCUCCAUAUGCCUGGACGUUGGUCUGAACCUUCUGGCCGGCUACAAAAGCAAGCACUCAGGCAGCUGGAUGGAUUCCGGGCGCACAGCUUGCCGUGAACCUUAAAUUGCUGCUCCAACAGGUAGCAAACCAAUCAUUUGAUAUUUGAGGGACAACAGUCAGCAGGCGCUUUGAGGAAGCAUUGGUGCUGGCAAACAAAAGAAUGCUUUAGGUAUACCUAUUUACACUUUUCAAUUGGUUUGAUGCCAUCUGUAUGUGAUUCACUGACCAAGAAUGGAAAUAUUCCUUGCUAUUAGAAAUUUCUAUGGUGGUGCUUCUUUAGGUUCCACCUGAUGAAUGUUCCAGUGCCAAUAAUCGGUUAUAUAUACUUUGUAAUGGUGAUUCCUAAUUUGGUCUAACUUUCUAACUAUUAGCUACAGUUCACUUCAGUGGUAAUGCAGGUACGCAAAGGAAGAAUUACUGGCUAUGGAUGAUUACUAUGAGCGUAUGAAAUUAUUAAUUGUGUAGGUUUCUUAAGCUAGAUGGGUUGUUCUAGCUUGUGAUGGUUAAAUUUUUUACACAAUAGCAGUACUAGAUUAGUUGUUCUAGCUUCUUUAGGCUGUAACCAUUUGAAGGUAAUUUGAAGAUCGAUCCCACAGCUGAGUAUAUUCUGUUUUUUAUUAACCCGCAACAGAGUGUGUAUAGGAAAGUGUACUUUUGUGAAUUGUUAGUGCUCGCUUUUCUUACUGUACUGUAUCAGGCUGCUCAUGUUCAAAUUCUUCAGCGUUUUGUACACAUGAAAGGUACUUUUGUAAAUCAGUUUUUCAAAUUGGCAUCGAUAAGAUGCAUGUAUCCUUCUAAAAAAUUAACACCAAUGUUUCAUUUUUUUGUGAGAUCAUUCCUUUUCUUUUGGACAGCUUUUGAAGAUUUUUAAGAUAGCUUUUUCUGUGGGCAAGCUGGACUUGAUACUCAAAGGACCUUAAGUUCUAACCAAAGAUGACAAUGUGGAUGGUCACAUUAUAAAGUGUUUUUUUUUCUCACACACAUGUAAGUUUUGUCUCACUGUGUAUUAAAAGAAUGGUGAAAAGGUGAGAAUCAGUAUAAAGUGGGGACAGAGGAUCAUGCUUUCAAAGUUGGUCAGGUUUCACAAUAAUACUUGUGCAUGUGUUUGUGUGUCAUCAUCUUUAUAAUGGGUGUGAUGGAUGUUGUAGGUUCAUUGGUGACAACCAAGAGCAUGCUCAAAAAUGGCAUCGUCUUGCUUCGUUUCUUCGCCUCAGCUUAAGUGCUUAAUCUUGAGAAGAUGAGAGAUAAUUGAUAGAGUACUCCUGACAAGUGCAUUUGUCAAAUUCUAGCCAACAGAUUGAAAGCAUGUCUACCUAUUUGUGAGUUUCAGUUCCAUUCAAUCUUCCUUUUCUUUUUGGAUCCAAAGUAGAGGAGAUCAUGUGACUGGUUGUUGAUUGCCCAAACACUAUUUCCUCUACAAGAGUGUAAA
Triticum dicoccoides is the source of this 1866-nucleotide long non-coding RNA. RefSeq lists it as uncharacterized. NCBI's taxonomy places the organism in Eukaryota, Viridiplantae, Streptophyta, Magnoliopsida, Poales, Poaceae. The record is from RefSeq and is a predicted model, not a curated record. The transcript is spliced from 3 exons.